ACUUCCAAUCCGUGAAAUUGACCUUCCCGUGAAGAGGCGGGAAUACGACAAUAAGACGAGAAGACCCUGUGGAGCUUUAAUUAAUCGACCCAAAGAGACCUUAAUAACCAACCGACAGGAACAACAGACCUCUGCCAUGGGCCGACAAUUUAGGUUGGGGUGACCUCGGAGAAUAAAACAACCUCCGAGUGAUUUAAAUCUAGACUAACCAGUCGAAAGUAUUACAUCACUUAUUGAUCCNAAAGCUUGAUCAACGGAACAAGUUACCCCAGGGAUAACAGCGCAAUCCUAUUUC
This 295-nucleotide ribosomal RNA is filed under the name Panthera tigris (tiger). Its description in RNAcentral is "partial 16S ribosomal RNA". It matches the Rfam family "Bacterial large subunit ribosomal RNA", at positions 2025 to 2494 of the family's 2925-position model. The record is from RNAcentral. Lineage: Eukaryota; Metazoa; Chordata; Mammalia; Carnivora; Felidae.